Molecule: ribosomal RNA, 500 nt
Filed under: uncultured bacterium
Lineage: Bacteria
Description: partial 16S ribosomal RNA
Rfam family: Bacterial small subunit ribosomal RNA
Source: RNAcentral
GACGAACGCUGGCGGCGUGCUUAACACAUGCAAGUCGAACGGGUCUGCCCUGUUUUUUGCGGGGUGGGUCAGUGGCGAACGGGUGAGUAACCCGUGAGUAACCUGCCCCUCACUUCUGGAUAACCGCUUGAAAGGGUGGCUAAUACGGGGUGUUCUGGCUGUGCCGCAUGGUGUGGCUGGGAAAGAUUCACUUUUGUGGUGUUUUGGUGGGGGAUGGGCUCGCGGCCUAUCAGCUUGUUGGUGGGGUGAUGGCCUGCCAAGGCUUUGACGGGUAGCCGGCCUGGGAGGGUGGGCGGGCACACUUGGGCGGAGAUACGGCCCAGACUCCUGCGGGAGGCAGCAGUGGGGGGUAUUGCACAAUGGGCGGAAGCCUGAUGCAGCGACGUCGCGUGAGGGAUGGAGGCCUGCGGGUUGUGAACCUCUUUCGCCGGUGAAGAAGGUCCUGCUCUUUGUGGUGGGGUUGACGGUAGCCGGGUUAUGAAGCGCCGGCUAACUACGUG